Molecule: ribosomal RNA, 2491 nt
Filed under: Gammaproteobacteria bacterium
Lineage: Bacteria; Pseudomonadati; Pseudomonadota; Gammaproteobacteria
Description: partial 23S ribosomal RNA
Rfam family: Bacterial large subunit ribosomal RNA
Source: RNAcentral
GGUCAAGCAACAAAGCGUGCGUGGUGGAUGCCUUGGCAGCUAGAGGCGAUGAAGGACGUGGUAGGCCACGAAAGGCCCCGGGGAGCAGUCAAACAUGCUUUGAUCCGGGGGUGUCCGAAUGGGGAAACCCACUCUGUUUACAGAGUAUCGUUAACUGAAUUCAUAGGUUAACGAGGCGAACGCGGAGAACUGAAACAUCUUAGUACCCGUAGGAAAAGAAAUCAAACGAGAUUCCCCUAGUAGCGGCGAGCGAACGGGGAGUAGCCCUUAAGUUACAUAAGGUUUAGCAGAACGCUCUGGAAAGUGCGGCGAUAGAGGGUGAUAGCCCCGUAUGCGAAAAGCCUUUUGUGAUGAAAUCGAGUAGGUCGGGACACGUGAAAUCUUGACUGAACAUGGGGGGACCAUCCUCCAAGGCUAAAUACUCCUAGCUGACCGAUAGUGAACAAGUACCGUGAGGGAAAGGCGAAAAGAACCCCGGUGAGGGGAGUGAAAUAGAACCUGAAACCGCGUACGUACAAGCAGUGGGAGCCUGGCCACUCAAUUGCUUUGCAAUUGAGUGGCAGCAACGGAGUUGCAAGAAACAAGAUACAAGAGACAAGAGACAAGGAGAGUCAACAUGCCAUAUUGGAAUUUGGAUGUGUAUCGAAAGGCUUAUGAUCUUGCUUUAGAGAUUCAUAGAAACAGUUUGAAUUUUCCGAAGCAUGAACAGCAUGAAUUAGCGAGUCAAUUACGUCGAGCGAGUAAAUCCAUUCCUGUCAACUUAGUGGAGGGAAUGGGUAAACAUGCGAGCUCAAAAGAUGUAAAGCGUUAUAUCAAAAUAGCGAUGGGUUCGAAUGAUGAAGUUCGACUCUGGCUCAAAUUCAGCAAAGAUCUAAGCUAUCUACCUGAAGAGUCUUAUCAAGACUUAUCAGUAAGAUAUGAGGAAGUCGGAAAAAUGCUAGGCGGUUUGCUAAAGCGUUAUACCUGACCCUUGUUUCUUAUCUCCUGUAUCUUGCCACCUCAAUAACAGAGUUAUUGAGUGGCUGGGUGACCGCGUACCUUUUGUAUAAUGGGUCAGCGAGUUAUUGUUAGUAGCAAGGUUAACCGUUUAGGGGAGCCGUAGGGAAACCGAGUCUUAAUAGGGCGUUUAGUUGCUAGUAAUAGACCCGAAACCGGACGAUCUAGCCAUGGCCAGGUUGAAGGUUGAGUAACAUCAACUGGAGGACCGAACCCACCUAUGUUGAAAAAUGGGGGGAUGAGCUGUGGCUCGGAGUGAAAGGCUAAUCAAGUCCGGAGAUAGCUGGUUCUCCUCGAAAUCUAUUUAGGUAGAGCCUCAUGAAUUACCACUGGGGGUAAAGCACUGUGUCGGCUAGGGGGUCAUCCCGACUUACCAACCCGAUGCAAACUCUGAAUACCAGUGAGUACAAUCAUGGGAGACAGACGGCGGGUGCUAACGUCCGUCGUCGAAAGGGAAACAACCCAGACCACCAGCUAAGGUCCCUAAUAUCAGUUCAGUGGGAAACGAUGUGGGAAGGCUUAGACAGCUAGGAGGUUGGCUUAGAAGCAGCCACCCUUUAAAGAAAGCGUAAUAGCUCACUAGUCGAGUCGGCCUGCGCGGAAGAUAUACCGGGGCUUAAACUGAUAACCGAAGCUGUGGAUCUAGAGACUUGUCUCUAGAUGGUAGAGGAGCGUUCUGUAAGCGGUUGAAGCUGAGUCGUGAGGCUUGGUGAACGUAUCAGAAGUGCGAAUGCUGACAUGAGUAACGAUAAGGGGGGUGAAAAACCUCCCCGCCGAAAGAUCAAGGUUUCCUGCCCAACGUUAAUCGGGGCAGGGUGAGUCGACCCCUAAGGCGAGGGCGAAAGCCGUAGUCGAUGGGAAACCGGUUAAAAUUCCGGUACCGAUUCUUACUGCGAUGGAGUGACGGAGAAGGCUAGACUAGCACAGUGUUGGUUGUCUGUGUUUAAGCGAGUAGGUAGGGGACUUAGGUAAAUCCGGGUCCUCGUUAAUCUGAGACGUGAUGACGAUCCUAACGGGAAACCUGACGGAGAAGUAGUCAAUGCCAUGCUUCCAGGAAAAACUUCUAAGCUUAGGUAAGAAUUGAUCGUACUGUAAACCGACACAGGUGAUCAGGUAGAGAAUACCAAGGCGCUUGAGAGAACUUGGGUGAAGGAACUAGGCAAAAUGGUACCGUAACUUCGGGAGAAGGUACGCUCCUUUUGGUGAUCGCACUUGCUGCGUAAGCUGAGGGGAGUCGAAGUGACCAGGUGGCUGCAACUGUUUACUAAAAACAUAGCACUCUGCAAACUCGUGAGAGGAAGUAUAGGGUGUGACGCCUGCCCGGUGCCGGAAGGUUAAUUGAUGGGGUUAGCUUCGGCGAAGCUCUUGAUCGAAGCCCCGGUAAACGGCGGCCGUAACUAUAACGGUCCUAAGGUAGCGAAAUUCCUUGUCGGGUAAGUUCCGACCUGCACGAAUGGCGUAAUGAUGGCCACGCUGUCUCCACCAGUGACUCAGU